This 1831-nucleotide long non-coding RNA is filed under the name Homo sapiens (human). RNAcentral's name for it is "HSALNT0212053". Lineage: Eukaryota; Metazoa; Chordata; Mammalia; Primates; Hominidae. The record is from RNAcentral.
UGACCUGAGUAAUAUCAGUUCUAUGCUUUCACUUUAUUAUCUCAGUCCCAGGUAGCUGGACAGUACUGGACCCAUCACAAUUUCAAUACUGGGAAGAGAAAAGCCAGUCCUCUGGGGAAAGAUGAAGCACUGGACCUACAAACUAACUACUUUCAACCCCUGGAUGAAUCUAGGAGCAGAUUAGUCCCGAUAUCAAGGCAAUGUCAAGAGUGAAGGGGAGGAUCAAGAUUUUUUUUGAGUGAUUGUUUCCUGGAAGGAGAAAAAAAAAUAACAAGAAAAUGACCAUGGAAAGUAACAACAACUGAAAACGGAUAAAAUGAAGAUGUGUGAAAGAGCACAAGAGUGCAAAACCAAAAGUAUACAAGGAGUGUUUAUGCAGUAACCACUUUAGAAUGCCUUUCCUCAUGUUUGAAGACUUCUAAACUAGGGCAAGGACAGAUCCCAGCAACUACUGGAAGCAUAAUAAAGGAGAAGAAUGAGGCAUUUUCUUCUCUCAUAUACAGAUUAUAUGUAAUUAGGAUGCUAAGGAUAAUUUUGUAACAUAAAAACGGAGAUGCUAAGGAGAAUGGUUUCACCCUAGUUUAUAGAAGGAGGGUAUACUAUGGUCUAUCAAAGACUGAAAAUUGUCCUCUGCUAAUAAAGUCUCAAAUCAGGGCAAUUGGAUUUCUUUCUUUUUUUUUUUUUAUUAUACUUUAAGUUUUAGGGUACAUGUGCACAAUGUGAAGGUUUGUUACAUAUGUAUACAUGUUCCAUGUUGGUGUGCUGCACCCAUUAACUCAUCAUUUACAUUAGGUAUAUCUCCUAAUGCUAUCCCUCCCCACUCUCCCAGCCCCACAACAGGUCCUGGUGUGUGAUGUUCUCCUUCCUGUGUCCAUGUGUUCAAUUCCCACCUAUGAGUUGAGUUAGAGUUACUAGUCUCAAAUAAAUGCUUGGUAAUGCCAUACAAUCUAAACAUGUUGUCACUGUCAACUCACUAUCUCAUAUUCUGCAAUGAUACCCUUCUAUAUUCUGAAAUUCCUUCCCCAUUCUCAGCAGAUAGCCUCAGAUCAUAUAUCAUACACACAAUUGAACAUAUCACAUAGAAAUUUCAUCAGCUCACUGCCUCCAAUCCAAUGAACCUAACAUCUACUAACAUCAACACCAUCCAGGAAACCAUGACCUCACCAGAUGAACUAAAUAAGGCACCAGGGAAAAAUACCAGUGAAACAGAGACAUGUGACCUUUCAGACAGAUAAUUCAAAAUAGCUGUGUUGAGGAAACUCAAAUUCAAGAUGAUACAGAGAAGGAAUUCAGAAUUAGAUAAAUUUAACAAAGAGAUUGAAAUAAUUAAGAAUCAAGCAGAAAUUCUGGAGCUGAAAAACGCAACUGGCGUAUUGAGAAAUGCACCAGAGUCUCUUAAUAGCAGAACUGAUCAAGCAGAAGAAUGAAUUAGUGAUGUUGAAGACAGACUAUUGGAAAUGCACAGUCAGAAGAGAAAAAAGAAAAAACAAUGAAGCACGCCUACAGGAUCUAAAAAAUAGCCCCCAAAGGGCAAAUCUAAGAGUUACUGGCCUUAAAGAGGGGGGGCUCAACACCCAAGUACAAAAAGGUUAGAGAACACCAAGUAGAUUUAAUCUAAAGAAGACUACCUUGAAUCGUUUAACAAUUAAACUCCCAAAGGUCAAGGAUAAAGAAAGGAUACUAAAAGAACCAAGAGAAAAGAAACAAGUAACAUACACUAGAGCUCCAGUACACCUGGUAGCAGACUUUUCAGUGGAAACCUUACACACCAGGAGAGUGACAUGGCAUAUUUAAAGUGCUAAAGGGUGGAAAAAAAGCCUUUUACCCUGGA